RNAcentral lists this ribosomal RNA (431 nucleotides) under uncultured bacterium. RNAcentral describes it as "partial 16S ribosomal RNA". It matches the Rfam family "Bacterial small subunit ribosomal RNA", at positions 29 to 507 of the family's 1533-position model. The record is from RNAcentral.
AACGAACGCUGGCGGCAGGCUUAACACAUGCCAGUCGAACGCCCCGCCAGGGGAGUGGCAGACGGGUGAGUAACGCGUGGGAACAUACCCUUUUCUACGGAAUAGCUCUGGGAAACUGGAAUUAAUACCGUAUACGCCCUACGGGGGAAAGAUUUAUCGGGGAAGGAUUGGCCCGCGUUGGAUUAGCUAGUUGGUGGGGUAAAGGCCUACCAAGGCGACGAUCCAUAGCUGGUCUGAGAGGAUGAUCAGCCACAUUGGGACUGAGACACGGCCCAAACUCCUACGGGAGGAAGCAGUGGGGAAUAUUGGACAAUGGGCGCAAGCCUGAUCCAGCCAUGCCGCGUGAGUGAUGAAGGCCUUAGGGUUGUAAAGCUCUUUCACCGAUGAAGAUAAUGACGGUAGUCGGAGAAGAAGCCCCGGCUAACUUCGUG